RNAcentral lists this ribosomal RNA (305 nucleotides) under uncultured Sphingomonas sp. RNAcentral describes it as "bacterial SSU rRNA". It matches the Rfam family "Bacterial small subunit ribosomal RNA", at positions 108 to 428 of the family's 1533-position model. The record is from RNAcentral. Lineage: Bacteria; Pseudomonadati; Pseudomonadota; Alphaproteobacteria; Sphingomonadales; Sphingomonadaceae.
GCGUAACGCGUGGANAUCUGCCCUUNGGUUCGGGAUAACCAGUUGGAAACGACUGCUAAUACCGGAUGAUGACUUCGGUCCCAAAGAUUUAUCGCCCAGGGGAUGAGCCCGCGUCGGAUUAGCUAGUUGGUGGGGUAAAAGCUCACCAAGGCGACGAUCCGUAGCUGGUCUGAGAGAGUGAUCAGCCACCUGGGACUGAGACACGGCCCAGACUCCUACGGGAGGCAGCAGUGGGGAAUAUUGGACAAUGGGCGAAAGCCUGAUCCAGCAAUGCCGCGUGAGUAAUGAAGGCCUUAGGGUUGUAA